RNAcentral lists this ribosomal RNA (375 nucleotides) under uncultured organism. RNAcentral's name for it is "partial 16S ribosomal RNA". It matches the Rfam family "Bacterial small subunit ribosomal RNA", at positions 527 to 896 of the family's 1533-position model. The record is from RNAcentral.
GUAGGUGGCAAGCGUUGUCCGGAAUUAUUGGGCGUAAAGCGCGCGCAGGCGGUUCUUUAAGUCUGAUGUGAAAGCCCACGGCUCAACCGUGGAGGGUCAUUGGAAACUGGAGAACUUGAGUACAGAAGAGGAAAGCGGAAUUCCACGUGUAGCGGUGAAAUGCGUAGAGAUGUGGAGGAACACCAGUGGCGAAGGCGGCUUUCUGGUCUGUAACUGACGCUGAGGACGCGAAAGCGUGGGGAGCAAACAGGGAUUAGAUACCCUGGUAGUCCACGCCGUAAACGAUGAGUGCUAAGUGUUAGGGGGGUUUCCGCCCCCUUAGUGCUGCAGCUAACGCAUUAAGCACUCCGCCUGGGGAGUACGGCCGCAAGGCUG